RNAcentral lists this ribosomal RNA (253 nucleotides) under uncultured bacterium. RNAcentral describes it as "partial 16S ribosomal RNA". It matches the Rfam family "Bacterial small subunit ribosomal RNA", at positions 524 to 776 of the family's 1533-position model. The record is from RNAcentral.
UACGUAGGGUGCGAGCGUUAAUCGGAAUUACUGGGCGUAAAGCGUGCGCAGGCGGUUAUGUAAGACAGAUGUGAAAUGCCCGGGCUUAACCUGGGAACUGCAUUUGUGACUGCAUCGCUGGAGUGCGGCAGAGGGGGAUGGAAUUCCGCGUGUAGCAGUGAAAUGCGUAGAUAUGCGGAGGAACACCGAUGGCGAAGGCAAUCCCCUGGGCCUGCACUGACGCUCAUGCACGAAAGCGUGGGGAGCAAACAGG